AAGUCGUAACAAGGUUUCCGUAGGUGAACCUGCGGAAGGAUCAUUAACGAAUUUAACAAUGGCUGAGGUUGUAGCUGGCCUUUCAAACUCGAGAGGCAUCGUGCACGCCUUGGUUGUUCCACAAUUCUUACACCCCCCUCUGUGCACUUUACAUAGAAGAUGGAUCUCGUUGGCUGGGUGAACGAACGGUCGACUCCUCACCGUGUCGACCAAGUAGUUCAACUGGUUGGGGUCUUUUUAUCUGUGGUUCAUUACACUUUAAACCAGUCAGUUUAGAAUGUGAAGUUGUCGCGUUUUAACGCAAAAACUACAUACAACUUUCAGCAACGGAUCUCUUGGCUCUC
This 344-nucleotide unclassified non-coding RNA is filed under the name air metagenome. Its description in RNAcentral is "partial contains small subunit ribosomal RNA, internal transcribed spacer 1, and 5.8S ribosomal RNA". The stretch from base 1 to 46 matches the Rfam family "Eukaryotic small subunit ribosomal RNA", at positions 1786 to 1831 of the family's 1831-position model. The record is from RNAcentral.